UACGCAGGCAGCAAGCGUUGUUCGGAAUUACUGGGCGUAAAGCGUGCGCAGGCGGUUUUGUAAGCCAGAUGUGAAAUCCCCGGGCUCAACCUGGGAAUGGCAUUUGGGACUGCAAGGCUGGAGUGCGGCAGAGGAGACUGGAAUUCCUGGUGUAGCAGUGAAAUGCGUAGAUAUCAGGAGGAAUACCGAUGGCGAAGGCAGGUCUCUGGGCUGACACUGACGCUCAUGCACGAAAGCGUGGGGAGCAAACAGG
This 253-nucleotide ribosomal RNA is filed under the name uncultured bacterium. RNAcentral describes it as "partial 16S ribosomal RNA". It matches the Rfam family "Bacterial small subunit ribosomal RNA", at positions 524 to 776 of the family's 1533-position model. The record is from RNAcentral.